GGUCUUUGGCGACUAAUUUUUAGCAGCAAUAACGCUAUUGCUGGCAAUUUACUUGAAAGGUUAAAAAAUUUGUGGCAAUUAAUUGAUGAAUACCUGCAAUUAUGACAAUUGCUACUAAAAAUUGUAACUUCGCGUUAUAACUACUUUACCACUUUUUUCUCUUUUCGUUAACCUUUUUUAUCUGAUUGCGGAGCCUUUUUCUUCGUGCUGUGAGAGAAGCGGAGAGGCGGUGAAGGUGAACCAGAGGCGGCGGCGUCGAACCCUAGCAGUGCCGUCCAGAGGAAGCGCAGUGGUGUCCAUCGAUCUUGACGGCGAGCCAAAUUGAGAUCGCGCAUAGUGCAGGAAAUGAUAGAAUUCUCCAUUUUCCCGAGAAAGUGAAAGAUCUCUUCUCUCACUCUGUUUCAAUCUCUUCACUCCUUUUGUUCUUGAUGUGUAGGUAAUCGGAAUCACGCCGAUGAUGACGAUUGAAAACCACCUCGUGUUGUUUGCUCCCAUUGCAACGGUAAUAGCAGCUAGACGAAGCAGAAGCACAUCUUCCCCCUGUGACUGCAAGCUUCACCGAGCAUUGAAUUUUUCUUGGUUGAUUGUGUAUUGAGCAAAGGGAGCAGAAGGUUUCGAUGGGACACAAUGAGUGGCGUGUUCAAGCCUUCAAGGGAUAUGAACGCCUAAAAGCUUUCCGUGAAUCAAGUAAAAAAAUGUGCGCCGCAGCUGGUGCUCUUGAUGGAGUAUCUGUGUAGCAUCUUCACAAAAGUAAAGCUUGAGUGCUUGACAUAAAGUGCUGGAGAUUUAAAUUUAUAAGCUUUUGAAGGACAAUAACCAAGAAACUAAAUAACAUAGGAAUGCUUGAUACAGGAAAUAGUCAUGAUGCUUUCUAUAUCAGGAGCAAUCUCCAGUUCUUAAGCUUCAAGAAGAUCCAAAUAUCCAUGAUAUUCAUGACUGAUGUAACUGCAAUAUCAGAACAGAUACUAAGUAUUUGCACUAGAGCACCCAAAGAAUAAUCUCUUGGAAAUAAGAUAUCAAGAGCAAAACAAAUUCACUUUUGUUACUUUGUAUAGUGUACAACUGCAAUAAAUGUCUUCCUAAAUUCUAGUUUUAUUACAUUGUGGCACUCCUGCUUUAAUUGUAGUUCUGGCAGCUAAUAUAAAUUCAGGCUUUCUCUUCUACUUGCUUUAAGAUUUGUUGGGUGAAUCCUUGAAUGAUUGCGACACUUCUCUAUAUUUUUCACUAUUUUAUUUUAGGCUUAAAUAAGUUUUUGGUCCCUAACUUUUACCAAAUGCUUGGUUUUCGUCCCUCGCCGGAGCAAAGGUGGGCUUUAGUCCCUAACCUUUGUCAAAAGGUUUGGUUUUGGUCCCUCCGGAGCUUUGAGUCAACGCCGGAGCUCCGGUAGCCCAUGUGGCAUAGCCACGUCAGAUUAAUAAGGCCAGGUGGAAUUUUUUAUUUUUACUUUAAAUUAUUAAACAAAAAUUAAGGUACAUCAUCACUUUCAAAAAAAAAAAAAUCUGGUACAUCAUCAUCUUCAUCCAAGCCAUCACCUGCAGUCCUUCAUUAUCACCUUCAUCCUCAAACCAGAAAACCAUACCAGAAACAACAACCCCUCAAAGCCAUGAUCAGAAAGGGAUGAAGGAGGAACAACAACUCCAAACUGUGGACGUGGGUCUUCGAUCGCGUCGCGACAGCAGGGGUGUCGCACCUCCGUCGGAGCCGUCCAUCUCCGCCGUUCUCCACUUCGGGUUUCAGUAACAACCAUCGUGACCCCAGAUCCAACCUUCAUCUUCUUCACCCUUCACAUCGAUCAUCUACCUUUCACCCUCUGUUCAUCAUCUCUUCUUCACCAGUUCACCAUCCAUCUUUUAGAUCUCCAAAUUUCACCACCCAAAUCUCCUAGAUCUGCCUGGUUGUGGAGUAAAAAUGGGUCAUUUGCCUCUCUUCUGUGUCGAUUUGGCCUCCAGAGUGACGAUGGGUAUAGUGGGUGGGGAUUACGAGUUCUGGGUUGCAGUGGGGGUUGCGGGUUGCGGCUUCUGGUGUGCGGUAGCCGGUGGGUGAGCAUUUGUUUCGGUUUGGUGAUGAAAGUACUGGCAGCGAGAUCAGGCAUUUUGCAUGUUCUUCAAUCUCUUGAAUCAAACCCAUUUUACUAUGAGCUCAUUCCUUUCAUCACAAACUGAAUCUAGACAGUUUCGUGCUGAGAACUUUUCCUUUUUUUUUGAUUCAAAGUUUUAUUUUGUACAAUCUUUAAUCCUAGUGAAUCCUUCCUUCCAAUGUGAAUCCUUCCAUUUUCCUUUUUCUGAGUUUGUAUGAAAGCUCUGUGCCAGUGCCUAUGGUGUUAAGAAAUGUUUAAGAAGAUGAUGGAUUUAA
Lotus japonicus is the source of this 2352-nucleotide long non-coding RNA. RefSeq lists it as uncharacterized. The record is from RefSeq and is a predicted model, not a curated record. Lineage: Eukaryota; Viridiplantae; Streptophyta; Magnoliopsida; Fabales; Fabaceae. The transcript has 4 exons.